GGAGCAGUUGGUAGCUCGUCGGGCUCAUAACCCGAAGGUCGUAGGUUCAAGUCCUGCCUCCGCAACCA
RNAcentral lists this transfer RNA (68 nucleotides) under Clostridium botulinum. Its description in RNAcentral is "tRNA-Met". It matches the Rfam family "tRNA", at positions 9 to 71 of the family's 71-position model. Rfam says of the family: Transfer RNA (tRNA) molecules are approximately 80 nucleotides in length. Their secondary structure includes four short double-helical elements and three loops (D, anti-codon, and T loops). Further hydrogen bonds mediate the characteristic L-shaped molecular structure. tRNAs have two regions of fundamental functional importance: the anti-codon, which is responsible for specific mRNA codon recognition, and the 3' end, to which the tRNAs corresponding amino acid is attached (by aminoacyl-tRNA synthetases). tRNAs cope with the degeneracy of the genetic code in two manners: having more than one tRNA (with a specific anti-codon) for a particular amino acid; and 'wobble' base-pairing, i.e. permitting non-standard base-pairing at the 3rd anti-codon position. The record is from RNAcentral. Lineage: Bacteria; Bacillati; Bacillota; Clostridia; Eubacteriales; Clostridiaceae.